This 127-nucleotide small nuclear RNA is filed under the name Nestor notabilis (Kea). RNAcentral's name for it is "U2 spliceosomal RNA". It matches the Rfam family "U2 spliceosomal RNA", at positions 65 to 192 of the family's 192-position model. Rfam says of the family: U2 is a small nuclear RNA (snRNA) component of the spliceosome (involved in pre-mRNA splicing). Complementary binding between U2 snRNA (in an area lying towards the 5' end but 3' to hairpin I) and the branchpoint sequence (BPS) of the intron results the bulging out of an unpaired adenosine, on the BPS, which initiates a nucleophilic attack at the intronic 5' splice site, thus starting the first of two transesterification reactions that mediate splicing. Lineage: Eukaryota; Metazoa; Chordata; Aves; Psittaciformes; Psittacidae. The record is from Rfam by way of RNAcentral.
GACGUCCUCGAUGAGAGGACUUUAUAUUAAACGGAUUUUUGGGCGUGGGAGUCGGACCCGGAGCUUGCUCCAUCCGCUCCGCGCAUCGUCCCGGUAUUGCAGCGCCUCCGGGCUCGGUGCACCCCUG